This 757-nucleotide ribosomal RNA is filed under the name uncultured bacterium. Its description in RNAcentral is "bacterial SSU rRNA". It matches the Rfam family "Bacterial small subunit ribosomal RNA", at positions 20 to 785 of the family's 1533-position model. The record is from RNAcentral.
UGGCUCAGAUUGAACGCUGGCGGCAUGCUUUACACAUGCAAGUCGGACGGCAGCACAGAGAAGCUUGCUUCUUGGGUGGCGAGUGGCGAACGGGUGAGUAACAUAUCGGAACGUACCGAGUAAUGGGGGAUAACUAAUCGAAAGAUUAGCUAAUACCGCAUAUUCUCUGAGGAGGAAAGCAGGGGACCUUCGGGCCUUGCGUUAUUCGAGCGGCCGAUAUCUGAUUAGCUAGUUGGUGGGGUAAAGGCCUACCAAGGCGACGAUCAGUAGCGGGUCUGAGAGGAUGAUCCGCCACACUGGGACUGAGACACGGCCCAGACUCCUACGGGAGGCAGCAGUGGGGAAUUUUGGACAAUGGGCGCAAGCCUGAUCCAGCCAUGCCGCGUGUCUGAAGAAGGCCUUCGGGUUGUAAAGGACUUUUGUCAGGGAAGAAAAGGCUGUUGCUAAUAUCGACAGCUGAUGACGGUACCUGAAGAAUAAGCACCGGCUAACUACGUGCCAGCAGGCCGCGGUAAUACGUAGGUGCGAGCGUUAAUCGGAAUUACUGGGCGUAAGCGAGCGCAGACGGUUACUAAGCAGGAUGUGAAUCCCCGGGCUCACUUGGGAACUGCGUUCUGAACUGGUGACUAGAGUGUGUCAGAAGGGAGGUAGAAUCACGUGUAGCAGUGAAAUGCGUAAGAUGUGGAGGAUACGAUGCGAGGCAGCUCUGGAUACACUGACGUCCAUGCUCGAAGCUGGUGACAACAGGAUUGGAUCC